RNAcentral lists this ribosomal RNA (689 nucleotides) under uncultured bacterium. RNAcentral describes it as "bacterial SSU rRNA". It matches the Rfam family "Bacterial small subunit ribosomal RNA", at positions 8 to 694 of the family's 1533-position model. The record is from RNAcentral.
AGAGUUUGAUCCUGGCUCAGAUUGAACGCUGGCGGCAUGCCUUACACAUGCAAGUCGAACGGUAACAGGUCUUCGGAUGCUGACGAGUGGCGAACGGGUGAGUAAUACAUCGGAACGUGCCCGAUCGUGGGGGAUAACGAAGCGAAAGCUUUGCUAAUACCGCAUACGAUCUACGGAUGAAAGCAGGGGACCGCAAGGCCUUGCGCGAACGGAGCGGCCGAUGGCAGAUUAGGUAGUUGGUGGGAUAAAAGCUUACCAAGCCGACGAUCUGUAGCUGGUCUGAGAGGACGACCAGCCACACUGGGACUGAGACACGGCCCAGACUCCUACGGGAGGCAGCAGUGGGGAAUUUUGGACAAUGGGCGAAAGCCUGAUCCAGCCAUGCCGCGUGCAGGAUGAAGGCCUUCGGGUUGUAAACUGCUUUUGUACGGAACGAAAAGACUCUGGUUAAUACCUGGGGUCCAUGACGGUACCGUAAGAAUAAGCACCGGCUAACUACGUGCCAGCAGCCGCGGUAAUACGUAGGGUGCAAGCGUUAAUCGGAAUUACUGGGCGUAAAGCGUGCGCAGGCGGUUAUAUAAGACAGAUGUGAAAUCCCCGGGCUCAACCUGGGAACUGCAUUUGUGACUGUAUAGCUAGAGUACGGCAGAGGGGGAUGGAAUUCCGCGUGUAGCGGUGAAAUGCGUAGA